RNAcentral lists this ribosomal RNA (254 nucleotides) under uncultured prokaryote. Its description in RNAcentral is "partial 16S ribosomal RNA". It matches the Rfam family "Bacterial small subunit ribosomal RNA", at positions 524 to 777 of the family's 1533-position model. The record is from RNAcentral.
UACGGAGGAUGCAAGCGUUAUCCGGAUUUAUUGGGUUUAAAGGGUGCGCAGGUUGUUUGAUAAGUCAGUGGUGAAAGUCUGUCGCUUAACGGUAGGAUUGCCAUUGAUACUGUUGGACUUGAAUAUGGAUGAGGUAGGCGGAAUGUGUAGUGUAGCGGUGAAAUGCAUAGAUAUUACACAGAACACCGAUUGCGAAGGCAGCUUACUAAUCCAUCAUUGACGCUGAGGCGCGAAAGAGUGGGGAUCAAACAGGA